UACGGAGGGGGCAAGCGUUGUUCGGAUUUACUGGGCGUAAAGGGUCCGUAGGUGGUUGUGUAAGUCUGGUGUGAAAUCUUCGCCGCUUAACGGGAAGAAGCCACUGGAAACUGCGCAACUUGAGUAUGGUAGAGGCAAGCGGAAUUCCUGGUGUAGCGGUGGAAUGUGUAGAUAUCAGGAAGAACAUCUGUGGCGAAAGGCGGCUUGCUGGGCCAUCACUGACACUGAGGGACGAAAGCGUGGGGAGCAAACGGG
RNAcentral lists this ribosomal RNA (255 nucleotides) under uncultured bacterium. RNAcentral's name for it is "partial 16S ribosomal RNA". It matches the Rfam family "Bacterial small subunit ribosomal RNA", at positions 524 to 776 of the family's 1533-position model. The record is from RNAcentral.